This 325-nucleotide long non-coding RNA is filed under the name Malus domestica (apple). RNAcentral's name for it is "long non-coding RNA (MDOM_LNC018726)". The record is from RNAcentral. Lineage: Eukaryota; Viridiplantae; Streptophyta; Magnoliopsida; Rosales; Rosaceae.
AACUUCCAGAGGUCCACAAUAUACCUCUAGGACAACAUCCUAAAAUUUCAUUACCAUCCAACGGUCGGAUCUCCGUCAAUUUCCAAAACUAAGUGACGGUUAACAUUUUAUUUUAUGAACUUACAACUCCAAUUCCGGAAGAUCCGUAACUCGGAUUCUCAAUCCGUAAGUUCCAAUAAUCCUCAAAUAUUACGUAUUACAACGUAUCAAAGUUUGGUGACGAUCCAACGGUCGGAUCGUCAAUUCACAUUUUCACCUAAAUGCAAAAACUAUAAAACGUUAUUUAAAGCACCUAACCAAUAAUCGUAAUAACUUUCUCAUACGG